GACGAACGCUGGCGGCGUGCUUAACACAUGCAAGUCGAACGGAAAGGCCUUUUCGGAGGUACUCGAGUGGCGAACGGGUGAGUAACACGUGGGUGAUCUGCCCUGCACUCUGGGAUAAGCCUGGGAAACUGGGUCUAAUACCGGAUAGGACCGCACUUUAGUGUGUGUGGUGGAAAGUUUUUUCGGUGUAGGAUGAGCCCGCGGCCUAUCAGCUUGUUGGUGGGGCAAUGGCCUACCAAGGCGGCGACGGGUAGCCGGACUGAGAGGUUGGUCGGCCACAUUGGGACUGAGAUACGGCCCAGACUCCUACGGGAGGCAGCAGUGGGGAAUAUUGCACAAUGGGCGCAAGCCUGAUGCAGCGACGCCGCGUGGGGGAUGACGGCCUUCGGGUUGUAAACGCCUUUCGCCAGGGACGAAGCGUUUUGUGACGGUACCUGGAGAAGAAGCACCGGCUAACUACGUG
Molecule: ribosomal RNA, 463 nt
Filed under: uncultured bacterium
Lineage: Bacteria
Description: partial 16S ribosomal RNA
Rfam family: Bacterial small subunit ribosomal RNA
Source: RNAcentral